RNAcentral lists this ribosomal RNA (253 nucleotides) under uncultured bacterium. RNAcentral's name for it is "partial 16S ribosomal RNA". It matches the Rfam family "Bacterial small subunit ribosomal RNA", at positions 524 to 776 of the family's 1533-position model. The record is from RNAcentral.
UACGUAGGGGGCAAGCGUUGUCCGGAAUCAUUGGGCGUAAAGAGCGUGUAGGCGGCCUGGUAAGUCCGCUGUGAAAGUCCAGGGCUCAACCCUGGAAUGCCGGUGGAAACUGUCAGGCUCGAGUCCGGAAGAGGCGAGUGGAAUUCCUGGUGUAGCGGUGAAAUGCGCAGAUAUCAGGAGGAACACCAAUGGCGAAGGCAGCUCGCUGGGACGGUACUGACGCUGAGGCACGAAAGCGUGGGGAGCAAACAGG